AGGGGUCUCGAGGGGGGUCCUGGGGGUGUUGGGGGACUUUGGGGUUCCAGGGUGGUCCUGGGCCAACCUUGGGCGCUUUUCAGGGGGAUUUGGGGUUCCCGGGGGAGAUUUGGGGUUCCUGGGGGUUCCCAGCCCCCCCCCCACUCCCGUGUUUGGGGGUCUCCCAUGGUGUCCCCUCCCCACAGAGCUCCGAGGGCCCCUGAGGUGGCUCCUGUUCCACCGGCCGGUGCCCCUGACCCAGGACGGCCCCAGAGAGUCUGGGGGGAUUUUGGGGGGCAAUUUUGGGAGGGUUUUUGGGGAUUUUGGGAGGGCUUUUUUUAGAGCUUUGGAGGGUUUUGAUGGAAGUUGAGGGGGUAUUAGUGGGGUUUCAGAGAGAAUUAUUGUGUUUCGGGGGGUUAUGCGAUUUUGGGGGUUUUGUGGAUUUGGGGAGUUUUGGAUUUUGGGGGAUUUUAUUGGGGUUGGGGGAGUUGAUUUUUGAGGGGGUUUAGUGAAAUUUUGGGGAGUUUUUUUAAGUUUUGGUGGGUUUCACUGGGAUUUUGUGGGAUUCUCUGGGGUUUUGGAGGAUCUUCUUGUAAUUUCUUGAGGAAUUUGGGAUUUUUAGUGGAAUUUGUGGGGGAUUUGGGCGUCUGGGACCUUUGGGGUUGUCCCAGGGUUUGUGGAAGGGCUGAGAGGCAUCAAAAUCUCCUUAAUCUCCUUAAAAGCCCCAAAAGUCCCAAUAAAACUCAUGAAAUCCGAAAUAAAUAUCGCAAAGUCCCAUUAGAACACCCUAGAAUCCCAAUAAAAGACCAUGAAAUCUUUUGAAAUCCCAAUAACCCCCAAAAUCCUGAUGAAACCCCACAAAUCCCCCAAAAAUGUCCCCUAAAAAAUCUUGCAAAAUCUCCCCCAAGACCCAAAGAAAUCAGAGCAACAACCAAGAAACCUCACAAAAUCCCACCAAAACUCCCAAAAAACCCAAAUUGCCAAAAAACCCACAUCCCAAAUAAAUCACAUUAAAUGCCUCCACAAUUCCAAUAAAUACCUCAAAAUCUCCUAAAAAUCCCAAUAAAACCCCCAGAAUUUAUGAGAAUUGCAAAAACCCCCAACAAAAUCCCAGUAAAACUUCCCAAAAUACAAAAAAAAAAAAAAAACAACCAAAAUUUUCAAUAAACCCCCAAACACCCCCAGAAAAACACACCCCAAAGCGCCAAUUAAACCCCCAAAAUACAAACCCCCCAAAAUCCACAAAACCCCCCAACAUUUCCCACCUUGUCCCAGCAUGUCUGCAGUCAUUUCCAGGCGCUGCCAGGGGCCCCAGGAAGGUGUCAGUUCUCCCAGUGUGAUCCCCCAGUCAUGCCCAGAACAUCCCAGCUGCCUCCAGCAUGCAUCCAGUCCUGCCCAGUUCCUCCAGUUUGCUUGCAGCAUGAUCCCAGUUUCUCUCAGGUGCUCCCAGUAGCCCAAAGUGUGAUCCCAGUCACUCCCUUUCAAUCCCAAUAUGAUCCCAGUAAGCUCCAGUUGGAUCCCAGUCACAUGCCAGCACUCCCAGUGUGGUCCCAGUAUAAUCCCAGUUGCUCCCAGUCAGGCCAAGUAUGGGGGAUGAUGUGCAGGGUGUGCUCCCAGUCGCUCUCAGAUUCUCCCAGUAUUAGUCCGGUCCCUCCCAGUAUGAUCCAGAGAUGAGCCCAGUGUGCUCCCAGUCCCUGCCAGUAUGAACCAGUUGUGCUCCACAUGGUUCCAGUUGCUCUCCUUCACCCUCCCUUUGGUUCCAGUCACUCCUGAUAUCUCGCAGUGUAUCCCAGUUCCCUCCAACAUGGUGCCAGUCCCUCCCAUUAUUCCCCAGUAUGAUCCCAUUUGCUGCCAAGCACUCCCAGUCAGCCUCAGUGCAGUGGCACUCACUGCCAGGAUGAUCCCAGUCACCUCCAGCGUGAUCCCAGUUGAUCCCAGGAUAAGCGCAGUUUUUUCCAGUAACCAACAGCAUGUUCCCCGUCACUCCCAGUUCCUCCCAGCUGGGUUUUCUGGGGGGAUGUUUGGAGAAUGAAGAAGUGCGAGGCUGAGCGGAAAAGGCCCCUCGGGGGGACAUCGGGGGGUGGCGGUGGCGGCUGGCGGCAGAGGCAGCCUGGAGGAGCAGAGCCCUGUGUCCCCCAGGAGCCCAAAGUGGGGAGCCCAGAGAGGGGGGAGCGCCACCAUGGGCGGGAGCCUGCAGAGGCUGGAGAGGGGCAGGGGGGACUCCUUGGAGCCCCUGCAGCCCGGAGCAGAGCAUGAGGGGAGAAGGGAGCCCAAAAGGGAGCCCGAAAAGCCCCGGCAUCCCUGAAUGGGGAGCGAAAAGGGGGCAGCUUUUGGGAUUGCUGGGACUGCCAGCAGGCUGGGGAGGACGGGCACCGAGGAGAAGGGGGACCCCCAAUGCAAGCGUGACCCCCGCAGAUGGGACAGGGGGGAACCCUAAACAGCAGAGGGGUGGGAGCAGGGACAGGGAACUCCUGGGAGGCUUUUUCCAGGCUGACUCGUGGUCUUUGGGAGUUUUUUCUGGAGCCCCGAUGGCCGGUGACUUGUAGAGAUGCACUUGGGCAGAGGGACCUUCAAACUCAAUGUGCUCAUCCUUUGUUUUCCUCAAACCAGGAUUUCCAUUGCCAACCCCCAUUGAGGCUGUGAGGAAAAUGCCCCAGAACAUGCAAGCAGAGCCGAAGCUGAGCCUGGAGAGCAGGGAGGACAAAUCCCCGCGGCAGAACCUCGUGGCAGAGGCCGUUUUGAGUGGCUCCACAGCGCAGGAACCCAACAGGGAGGAAAAGCCCUGGAGAUCCUGCACAAGGAGGGGCUGCAAACGCAGCCCAGGUUGCUCUGAGGAGUAAAGAUCCACCCUGUGCCAGGAACGUGGACAGAGCUUCAGCCAGAGCUUGGAGCUGGUGGUCCAUGAGCAGGUUCCUGAUGGGGAGAAGCCUCACAGGUGCUUGGAGUGUGGGAAGAGCUUCUGGUGGAUCACCAGCCUGAUCGUGCACCAGAGAACCCACACUGGGGAACGGCCCUACGAGUGUGGGGAGUGUGGGAAAGGCUUCAGGUGCAGCUCUGAGCUCAUCACUCACUAACGCAUCCAUACCGGGGAGAGGCCCUAGGACUGUCCCGAGUGUCAGAAGAGGUUUCAGACCAGCUCCAGUCUCCUCCAGCAUCAAUGGAUUCACACAGAGGAGAGGCCCUUCCGCUGCCCAGACUGCAGGAAGGGCUUCAACUGCAAGUCAAACUUCGCCAGGCACCGGUGCAUCCACAGCGAGGAGAGGCUCUACGAGUGUCCCCAGUGUGGGAAGAUCUUUACCCACAGCUCUAACUUGACCAAACACCAACAGAAUUACCAGUAAGGGAAGUCCUGCAAGUGCCCUGAGUGUGGGAAGAGCCUCGUGUGCUGCUCCAGCUUCAUCCCCCAUUGGAGGACCCGCAUUGGGAAGAGACCUGCUGAUCCAUGUUCCCUGUGAUCCAUGGUGGGAAGACAUUUGUCACUUUUCCUGCCCCUGCUGGUGACCUGAUGUGGGAUUGAAGAACAAGAGGGUCUGGCCAGAGCCCUGUCAUUACACUCACUCCCACCUCAGGUCAUUGCCAGGGGCAGGAAAGGGACUCUCUCCCUGAGGAGAAAGGUGUCCUUUCCAGGCAGGAGGAAAUACCUGGCCAGGAAGAGCCACUCAGUGGUGAUGUUGUAGUUUUCCCUGUAAAUAGUUUUUCUUAUCCCUUCUGUUAUCAAUAUUGCUUUUUUUCCUGUUUAUUCCUUAUGUCAUUGCUGUUCCCAGUAAAUUGUUCUUAUCCCAG
Passer domesticus (house sparrow) is the source of this 3762-nucleotide long non-coding RNA. RefSeq lists it as uncharacterized. NCBI's taxonomy places the organism in Eukaryota, Metazoa, Chordata, Aves, Passeriformes, Passeridae. The record is from RefSeq and is a predicted model, not a curated record. The transcript has 2 exons.